AUGCGAUCCACGGGGGGUUAUGCGGUAUUUCUGGGUCCUAACUUGAUCGCCUGGAAUGCUCGCAAGCAAGCAACUGUGUCUCGCAGUAGUACUGAGGCUGAAUACAAAGCUGUUGCUGAUGCAACUGCUAAGAUCAUAUGGUUACAGUCUCUGUUGAGAGAGUUGCAUGUUCCUGAAGCUCGUCCUCCGGUCCUGUGGUGUGACAACAUUGGUGCUACAUAUCUUUCUUCUAAUCCAGUGUUUCAUGCGAGGACAAAACACAUUGAGGUGGAUUAUCACUUUGUUCGGGAACGUGUUGCACAGAAGCUACUCUGUAUCAAGUUCAUCUCAUCAAAGGAUCAACUUGCUGACAUCUUCACGAAGCCUCUACCACAACCACAGUUUGUAGGAUGUAGGCGCAAUCUUAACUUGCUCUAUACUUCAGGACAUAGUUAA
RNAcentral lists this ribosomal RNA (435 nucleotides) under Triticum aestivum (bread wheat). RNAcentral's name for it is "partial small subunit ribosomal RNA". The record is from RNAcentral. Lineage: Eukaryota; Viridiplantae; Streptophyta; Magnoliopsida; Poales; Poaceae.